RNAcentral lists this unclassified non-coding RNA (666 nucleotides) under Bombus terrestris (buff-tailed bumblebee). RNAcentral's name for it is "misc RNA ENSBTSG00005030193.1". Lineage: Eukaryota; Metazoa; Arthropoda; Insecta; Hymenoptera; Apidae. The record is from RNAcentral.
AUCUCGCUCGAUGUUGUCGGCUCGGACGGUGAUCUGAAAGUGAAGUCGUAGUCGUAGCCGUACGAUCGGCGUGGCGCAGCGCGUCGUCGCGUCGCCUAAGCCCUAAACCUAACAAUAAGACCGAAUCUCUCUCGCGUCUUUCCUUAACCCUGCGCAGUCCUCUUUUUCUCGUGUCAAAGAUUCACGGUUCACAGGUUCACAGGCACAGAGCAAAAGUCGACACGUGACAGCAGACGCGUAUAGAUGCACCUUAAUUCUCUUCGAUGCACAUAAUGAUAUAUUAUAAAACUAGCUAUUGGAUUUUGAAAUUUCCGAUACCAGAUACUAGAUGUACAUCCUUCGUUAAAAUUCUCAUCGUUCUCCACGUGCAUAAUGGUCGGCAUACCGAAACUACGCUACAGAUAACAUUCGCGAGUACGUCUGAAAGAGUAUCGCCGCUCAAAGCCGAACCUAAACUCUGUUGGCCGUUGAGAAAUUGACGAUUUCGACUAUUGGCGAAGAUACGUUGACAUCGACGGACAUUUAUUUCUACGGAUACCUCAAAAUUAUUUGACUCGAUUUACGAAUCUUCAGAUACAUCGUUUUUCUGACAAAUCGAAGAUAUGCGACGGUUAUGUCAUUUUACAAAACUAGAAUAAGUAGAAACGAAACAAGCGUAGAAAAUAU